Molecule: unclassified non-coding RNA, 522 nt
Filed under: Merrittia benguetensis
Lineage: Eukaryota; Viridiplantae; Streptophyta; Magnoliopsida; Asterales; Asteraceae
Description: contains 3 external transcribed spacer, ETS
Source: RNAcentral
UUGGUUUGUUUCCGGUGGAUGGCUCUUUGCUUUUUGCAACAACUUCCACCUGGCAUACCUCUUCAGUUAUUGUCAAGGUUGAAUAUCCUUGUGAGCAAUUGGUUCCUGUGUUGCCUACCGAUUUGAUGGUACUGUGUGGUUUUAAAAUGCAUGUUUUCAUUUUGCAUCGAACGUGUUGCGUGUGAUGAACAUCAAAGCGGUUUCUCUGAUCUACCUUGAUGCUCAUGCCAUUAUGAUGUGGCUCAUUGAUUUUUGCUUGGUCUUAUGUGUACGGAACAAGAUAUGGGCAUGGGUUUUCGUGAUCCUUUGUUUUGCUCUCGUUGGACGUUAUUUCUCAAAGACGGCAUCCUAAUCCGAAUUGGCUCGUAUUACCGGGUAGGAUACGCUGUUGUUGAAUUAUAAUAAUGUUCUUUCUUUUUUAAAUCGAACUGCCUACCCUGUAGUGUUUCGUACCAGCAGGUAGGUUAUGUCGAAGAGGAUGCUACCUGGUUGAUCCUGCCAGUAGUCAUAUGCUUGUCUCAA